This 253-nucleotide ribosomal RNA is filed under the name uncultured bacterium. RNAcentral describes it as "partial 16S ribosomal RNA". It matches the Rfam family "Bacterial small subunit ribosomal RNA", at positions 524 to 776 of the family's 1533-position model. The record is from RNAcentral.
GACAGAGGAUGCAAGCGUUAUCCGGAAUGAUUGGGCGUAAAGCGUCUGUAGGUGGCUUUUUAAGUCCGCCGUCAAAUCCCAGGGCUCAACCCUGGACAGGCGGUGGAAACUACCAAGCUGGAGUACGGUAGGGGCAGAGGGAAUUUCCGGUGGAGCGGUGAAAUGCGUAGAGAUCGGAAGGAACACCAGUGGCGAAAGCGGCUUCCUGGUCCAGCACCGACGUUCAGGCACGAAAGCGUGGGGAGCAAACAGG